UACGUAGGGUGCAGGCGUUAAUCGGAAUUACUGGGCGUAAAGCGUGCGCAGGCGGUUUUCUAAGUCAGAUGUGAAAUCCCCGGGCUUAACCUGGGAACUGCGUUUGAAACUGGGAGGCUAGAGUGAGGCAGAGGGGGGUGGAAUUCCACGUGUAGCAGUGAAAUGCGUAGAUAUGUGGAGGAACACCGAUGGCGAAGGCAGCCCCCUGGGCCUGCGCUGACGAUCAUGCACGAAAGCGUGGGGAGCAAACAGG
This 253-nucleotide ribosomal RNA is filed under the name uncultured bacterium. RNAcentral describes it as "partial 16S ribosomal RNA". It matches the Rfam family "Bacterial small subunit ribosomal RNA", at positions 524 to 776 of the family's 1533-position model. The record is from RNAcentral.